AUGUUGCUCUGCCCGAUUCCUUCGAGGCUCCCCAUCCAUGUCCCUCGCUGUGUCUUUCUUUCCUCCGCUUGGUCUCUGCCGCCCAGCUCACUCACCGUCGUCGAUACCGCAUUGAUCUCGCACCCGUUGCUGCCGCUGCUCGCUCAUCGUCGCCGGAACGUGGUACCUGCAUCUCUUGCGCGUGUGGAGAGGUCGCACACCCUGCUGGCACGCCCGCUCGCCGUUGCCUAUCCGGGAGGGUCGCGCUCGCCCGGACUGCAUCGAGUCCUCCCGAGCGCCGUGCCGCGCCACGUCCAGAAAUGA
RNAcentral lists this ribosomal RNA (303 nucleotides) under Triticum aestivum (bread wheat). RNAcentral describes it as "partial small subunit ribosomal RNA". The record is from RNAcentral. Lineage: Eukaryota; Viridiplantae; Streptophyta; Magnoliopsida; Poales; Poaceae.